This 75-nucleotide transfer RNA is filed under the name Sphaerodactylus townsendi. RNAcentral describes it as "tRNA-Ala". The record is from RNAcentral. Lineage: Eukaryota; Metazoa; Chordata; Lepidosauria; Squamata; Sphaerodactylidae.
GGAGCACAUAUGGCUCAGUGGUACAGGAUCUAAUUGGCAUGCAGAAAGUCCCAGGUUCGAUCUCUGGGAUCUCCA